This 465-nucleotide ribosomal RNA is filed under the name uncultured bacterium. RNAcentral's name for it is "partial 16S ribosomal RNA". It matches the Rfam family "Bacterial small subunit ribosomal RNA", at positions 28 to 507 of the family's 1533-position model. The record is from RNAcentral.
GAUGAACGCUGGCGGCGUGCUUAACACAUGCAAGUCGAACGGAAAGGCCCAAGCUUGCUUGGGUACUCGAGUGGCGAACGGGUGAGUAACACGUGGGUGAUCUGCCCUGCACUUCGGGAUAAGCCUGGGAAACUGGGUCUAAUACCGGAUAGGACCACAUUUUGGAUGGUGUGGUGGAAAGUUUUUCGGUGUGGGAUGAGCUCGCGGCCUAUCAGCUUGUUGGUGGGGUAAUGGCCUACCAAGGCGUCGACGGGUAGCCGGCCUGAGAGGGUGUACGGCCACAUUGGGACUGAGAUACGGCCCAGACUCCUACGGGAGGCAGCAGUGGGGAAUAUUGCACAAUGGGCGCAAGCCUGAUGCAGCGACGCCGCGUGGGGGAUGACGGCCUUCGAGUUGUAAACUCCUUUCGCUAGGGACGAAGCGCAAGUGACGGUACCUGGAGAAGAAGCACCGGCUAACUACGUG